GAUGUCUGAGGAAGUAACAUCAAUUCUUGUAGCAGCGGGUACAAAAGAAUCAUUAUCGACUGUUCCUCAAGAAAUAAUACUACAACAAUGCAAUUCUCAAUAAUAAUAUUUCAGAAGUUCUUGAGUAUUUUCUCACUCGAGAUUCCAUCUGCUACAAGAAUUGAUGUUACUUCCUCAGACAUCUGUUUCUGCCCACAAAGCACAACGCCGGUGGCCAAGGGACUAUCAAUUUUCUUGGCCCUGGAAAAAGCAGCCUGUACAUAGCCGGUUUCACCAGUCCAACUAUCAUCUGGCUGUGAUAGUACUGGUACAAUCCUAACACCAGAAGAUUCCCAAUCCUUAAACCUUUCCUGGUAAGCCAUUCUCUUGAGGUUUCUCGCCCCAUAAUACAGUCUCACAUCAGAUCUUCUGUCAGCACUAAACCCAGACUCGAUGAGAGAUCGAAUUGGACUGAUUCCAGAUCCAGUGCCGAAAAUCAGAACCGUAGGAUACUUCUCCGGCGGCGCGAUGCGAUCUAUAUCAAAACCGUUCCCCAUGACUUGGCUCAAUUCCACUACAUCUCCUUCCUUAAGACCGCACAACAGCUCAGCAGUCGAGCCGGCCACGCUCUUCACUAAGAAUUCAAAGGCGCCUUUCGCUGCAGCAUAAGACGGCGGUGACGCGAUAGCAAGGAAAGACGGCUUCUCAACGUCGGGGAUGCGAAGCUGGAGGUACUGGCCAGGUCGAGUGUGGGACGUAGCGAGGUCGGGAGAGUCAGAAACGUCGAUAGUAACGUUGAAGAGGGACUCAGCAGCAGGUUCGAUCUGGGAGAGAGGCGAAGAGGGGCUUGGGACCAGAGAGUGGCGUCUUGUCGAACAGCGGCGGCAGCGACUGAGGUAAAGCUCCGUCUGUUGUUGAGGUUGAGGCGUAAGGCUAGGCGGCGUAGGAUAUACAUGGGGAGAAGGGGGAGGAUAGAGUGGACAUGGGGGAGAUGAAGAGGAGACGGACAUUGUUUCGCGAGUAUUUGAGAAGCCGGAGCUGCUUGUUGCG
RNAcentral lists this unclassified non-coding RNA (1029 nucleotides) under Hevea brasiliensis (rubber tree). Lineage: Eukaryota; Viridiplantae; Streptophyta; Magnoliopsida; Malpighiales; Euphorbiaceae. The record is from RNAcentral.